GUGCUUGCUUUUGCAGCACCUAUACUUAAUUUGGAACAUUAUAGAGAAGAUUUGCAUGGCCCUUGUGCAAGGAUGGCUAGCAAAUUUGUGAAGCAUUCCAUAUUUUU
This 107-nucleotide small nuclear RNA is filed under the name Dasypus novemcinctus (nine-banded armadillo). Lineage: Eukaryota; Metazoa; Chordata; Mammalia; Cingulata; Dasypodidae. The record is from RNAcentral.